UACCAGCACCCCGAGUGGUCGGGACGUUUUAUUGGGCCUAAAGCAUCCGUAGCCGGUUCUACAAGUCUUCCGUUAAAUCCAACUGCUUAACAGGUGGGCUGCGGAAGAUACUAUAGAGCUAGGAGGCGGGAGAGGCAAGCGGUACUCGAUGGGUAGGGGUAAAAUCCGUUGAUCCAUUGAAGACCACCAGUGGCGAAGGCGGCUUGCCAGAACGCGCUCGACGGUGAGGGAUGAAAGCUUGGGGGAGCAAACCGG
Molecule: ribosomal RNA, 255 nt
Filed under: uncultured bacterium
Lineage: Bacteria
Description: partial 16S ribosomal RNA
Rfam family: Archaeal small subunit ribosomal RNA
Source: RNAcentral